AGAGUUUGAUCCUGGCUCAGGACGAACGCUGGCGGCGCGCCUAACACAUGCAAGUCGAACGAAAGAUGAGGAGCUUGCUCUUCAAAUCGAGUGGCGAACGGGUGAGUAACGCGUGAGGAACCUGCCUCAAAGAGGGGGACAACAGUUGGAAACGACUGCUACUACCGCAUAAGCCCACGGCUCGGCAUCGAGCAGAGGGAAAAGGAGCAAUCCGCUUUGAGAUGGCCUCGCGUCCGAUUAGCUAGUUGGUGAGGUAAUGGCCCACCAAGGCGACGAUCGGUAGCCGGACUGAGAGGUUGAACGGCCACAUUGGGACUGAGACACGGCCCAGACUCCUACGGGAGGCAGCAGUGGGGAAUAUUGCACAAUGGGGGAAACCCUGAUGCAGCGACGCCGCGUGGAGGAAGAAGGUCUUCGGAUUGUAAACUCCUGUUGUUGAGGAAGAUAAUGACGGUACUCAACAAGAAAGUGACGGCUAACUACGUGCCAGCAGCCGCGGUAAAACGUAGGUCACAAGCGUUGUCCGGAAUUACUGGGUGUAAAGGGAGCGCAGGCGGGAGAACAAGUUGGAAGUGAAAUCCAUGGGCUCAACCCAUGAACUGCUUUCAAAACUGUUUUUCUUGAGUAGUGCAGAGGUAGGCGGAAUUCCCGGUGUAGCGGUGGAAUGCGUAGAUAUCGGGAGGAACACCAGUGGCGAAGGCGGCCUACUGGGCACCAACUGACGCUGAGGCUCGAAAGUGUGGGUAGCAAACAGGAUUAGAUACCCUGGUAGUCCACACCGUAAACGAUGAUUACUAGGUGUUGGAGGAUUGACCCCUUCAGUGCCGCAGUUAACACAAUAAGUAAUCCACCUGGGGAGUACGACCGCAAGGUUGAAACUCAGGGGGAAUUGACGG
This 896-nucleotide ribosomal RNA is filed under the name uncultured bacterium. RNAcentral describes it as "bacterial SSU rRNA". It matches the Rfam family "Bacterial small subunit ribosomal RNA", at positions 8 to 916 of the family's 1533-position model. The record is from RNAcentral.